RNAcentral lists this non-coding RNA (28 nucleotides) under Bombyx mori (domestic silkworm). The record is from RNAcentral. Lineage: Eukaryota; Metazoa; Arthropoda; Insecta; Lepidoptera; Bombycidae.
UAAUAACCAAAUUAUUUUCUGCCUCUGC